Molecule: long non-coding RNA, 1520 nt
Organism: Hypanus sabinus (Atlantic stingray)
Lineage: Eukaryota; Metazoa; Chordata; Chondrichthyes; Myliobatiformes; Dasyatidae
Exons: 4
Source: RefSeq, a predicted model, not a curated record
GCGGGGGGAGGGGUAUCUUAUUGAAACCUACUGAAUAUUGAUUGGUCUCGAUUGAGUGGCCAUGGAGAGGAUGUUUCCUACAGUGAAGGAAUCUAGGACCAGAGGGCAGUGCCUCAGAGUACCAGGACGUCCCUUUAGAAUAGAUAUGAGCAGGAACUUCUUUAGGCAGAGGGUAGUGAUUAUGUGGGAUUCUUUGCCACAGGCAGCUGUGGAGAGCAAGCCAUUGGGUAUAUUUAACAUGGGGGUUGAUAGGUGUUAAAGAUUACGGGGAGAAGGCAGAAUAAUGGGGUUGAGAGGUAUAGUAAAUCAGCCACGAUGGAAUGGCAGAGUCGAUGGGCCGAAUGGUCGAAUUCUGCUCCUAUGUCUUAUGGUUUUCCGUGCAAAUAUGAUAUGCUAAUCUGUUUUACAAGAUCUUUUGUACUAUACUAUAAAGAUUAACAUUUAAGUGUGCUCUUUCGGUAAAGUGCAGAAUGCAGUCUGUAGCAGAAAUCCUUAAACCUUACUCGUAUUCCAUUUUCCGUACAAUCCGCAGUUUCUGUCCACAGAUGAUACACUGGAGAAAGGAGAUACACCAUUCGCAGCCCAGUCUCAACUUCAUUUAAUGAUCAAAAGCUAAAUAUUCUUGACCUUGGCUGAUUAAAAAAAUGGGCAGUUCAAACGGAAUGGUGCAUUUAAUUUAUGGCGAACGUACAGGCCCUGUGGCAAUCAACUUCAAGGGAAUCAGCUGCUCAUUACAGGAUGCGUAUGAAACAAAAGGCAGCUCGGAUACAACGACACGCGGGUAAGAGAAAGAUUUUGCCUGCAGGAACGGAGUAGGCCAUUCAGACCCCCUUGCCUGGUCCACCAUUUGACAAGAUCUUGGCUGACUGAACUGCAACUCUACUCCUGCCAACUCUCGUUAGAAUCUUGCUUCAUCAAGUGGACCCCCCCACUGCCUUAAAAAUAUUCUAAGACUUUGCUUCCACCACCCUUUGAGGAGGGGAGUCGCGGUCUCAGGAAGACAUUUGCCUCACAUCUAUCCUAAAUGGAUAACCCUCGUAUUUAUUUUAGUGACACUGAGGCCCUUUGUUGGUCGGGGUUGACCAUGGACAUUGCAUCCUAGCUGUCUCUGUAAGCUGCCUAAGCCAGGAUAGUACGAUAUGGUAACUCCUGCGAUGCCACUGCUUCAAAUUGUAUCAGUCUCAGCCGUUCUUUUGGAUUCAUCAGCUGUGCGGAGAGGGAGAGCCUGCUACAGGGUAGAGCUCUGUGGCAUCAGAUCCUCUGACGAGACCUUGAACAUGGUCACGCCCAUCGACUUGGGGACAAUCCCGUAACCACACCUCGGCUUCCUGUGACCACCUCUUCGUUGUCCUUACCUCUUACGCCUUGCUUUUAUGUCCAUGCAGAAAUACAGAAUGUUGGAACUGUCAGCAAGGAUAUCGUGGACAUGAUCAGAAAGAUCCCAGACCCUGGCAACUUGGAGGAAAACUACCAUCCAUGUUUCUUUCCUGUGUUACGAAUGAUGAGCAACUCUGAUGGGC